AUGUCCGACCAACCACGGCCGCCGUCGAUGCCACCACCCCAGCCGCAGCCGUUCCGGUUCUGGCUUCCUUACAGAAGCAAUGUGGGGUCGUGGCGCCAUCAACCGCCGCCCCCAUUGCCACCGCUGCCUCGACCUCAGGCACCCGGUUCACCCACACCAACUCCGGCGGAGCCCGCGCCGGCACGCGCCGUGGAGGAAGAUACCCCCCUCCAGGCUGACUCGUCCGACGAGUCGGACACGAUUGCUGUUGAAGCUUUAGACUCGCUGCGGCUACGAGGAGCCAGGCCGGCCAUGGCUGACCUGGAGCUGACGCUCUCGAGGUCGCCGCCGCCGCCCACGGGCCCAGAGCAGGGCACGAGCGGGGGUGGCGACCGUGGGAACGACGGCGCCAAGAUAUCCAUCUCCGGCUUCCCGAGGGCCCGCCUCUUCGACGGCGCCCGCGCGCCGUACCGGCGGGAGAUCGAGGACGGGCUCAAGAGCCUGGCCGGCCGCGAGACGCCGGCGCCGAGCCCGCCGGACGUCGGCAACCAGGGGUACCGCGUCUUCACGCUGGCCGGUCACAACGUCGGCGCGAGCAUGGUCCUCGGCAACGGCUCCAGCGGCGCGCCACUGCCAAGAAGCAAUGAGCCGGAGGGGUCGGCGAGGCCGCCGUCGGUGGCCGCGAACGUGAACAGCAACGUGCAGGGUGUGAACAACUCGGCGAUGGAGGAGAGCACGUGCAACUCCGGUGACCCCGGGGUGCGCGUGGACAUCAAGAACGCCCACGAGGAUCGUGUUGCGCUGGGGCAGGGCAAGGAGGGGGAGAAGAAGCCAGAGGAACCGGCAAGAACACCGCCACCGCAAGCAGAAAGCAGCGGCGAGGCGGCCCGGGCGCCGCCGAAGACGAGGCGGUGCCUUCGCGCGCUGAUGAUCGAGGAGCGAAAGCCGAAGCCGAUAUCCUGCCGGUUCCAGUGCGUGGCGGACCACGCGCCGCCGCCGGCGACCGCGAGCAACUCCGGCGGUAAUAAGAGUGCGGAGGAAGGCGCGGAAGAGGGCACAAGGUGA
RNAcentral lists this ribosomal RNA (1044 nucleotides) under Triticum aestivum (bread wheat). RNAcentral describes it as "partial small subunit ribosomal RNA". Lineage: Eukaryota; Viridiplantae; Streptophyta; Magnoliopsida; Poales; Poaceae. The record is from RNAcentral.